GACGAACGCUGGCGGCGUGCUUAACACAUGCAAGUCGAACGAGAAUCUGCGGAAAGAGGAUUCGUCCAAUUGAAGCAGAGGACAGUGGCGGACGGGUGAGUAACGCGUGAGGAACCUGCCUUUCAGAGGGGGACAACAGUUGGAAACGACUGCUAAUACCGCAUGACACAUAGGUGUCGCAUGGCACUUAUGUCAAAGAUUUAUCGCUGAAAGAUGGCCUCGCGUCUGAUUAGCUAGUUGGUGAGGUAACGGCCCACCAAGGCGACGAUCAGUAGCCGGACUGAGAGGUUGAACGGCCACAUUGGGACUGAGAUACGGCCCAGACUCCUACGGGAGGCAGCAGUGGGGAAUAUUGGGCAAUGGGCGCAAGCCUGACCCAGCAACGCCGCGUGAAGGAAGAAGGCUUUCGGGUUGUAAACUUCUUUGUCAGGGACGAGUAGAAGACGGUACCUGACGAAUAAGCCACGGCUAACUACGUGCCAGCAGCCG
RNAcentral lists this ribosomal RNA (489 nucleotides) under uncultured bacterium. RNAcentral describes it as "bacterial SSU rRNA". It matches the Rfam family "Bacterial small subunit ribosomal RNA", at positions 28 to 517 of the family's 1533-position model. The record is from RNAcentral.